Molecule: non-coding RNA, 63 nt
Filed under: Planctomycetaceae bacterium
Lineage: Bacteria; Pseudomonadati; Planctomycetota; Planctomycetia; Planctomycetales; Planctomycetaceae
Source: RNAcentral
UGCCGAAACGCCCUCGGGCGUCGUCGCGGGGUGGUUCCUGCGGCCUGACGAUGGCAGCCGACC